AACAAAUAAGGCUUCACAACAAAGAAAUUAAAAAAUAUCAAGCCAGUCGUAUUAUCACUGCUCUAGAAGGAGCACUUAGCAUUCUUGAAUAUUGACUGACAGUUGGCCUAAAACAUCAGAAAAGUGAAAGAAGACGUUAUCAAGUAUUUGAAGUACCAACUCCAACAAGUUGAGGCAGAUUCCAUGGCAGAGGCGGUAGAAAGACCUGGUCAUUAACGUACCCCCAUAAGAAAAAGAAUCACAUGGCGUCAAGUCAGGUGAUCGGGAUGGCCAACGAAGCGGCGCAUGGUCAUAGAGCAUUUAAGAGCUGGCAUACUAACUGGGAAGCAUAGUCACGACGGAC
Non-coding RNA from Zootermopsis nevadensis, 343 nucleotides. Lineage: Eukaryota; Metazoa; Arthropoda; Insecta; Blattodea; Termopsidae. The record is from RefSeq and is a predicted model, not a curated record.